ACUAGUAUGUUAGUUAGUUUGUAUUGUAUGCGAUGAUUCGAGUAUAUAUAAACGUUACCUUAAGCUAAAAAAAUUAGAAUAGCCUAGACAAGAAGUCGAUUCGCAACAAAGAUUUAAACACAAAAUUAUUGCAAAAUGAAAAUUGAAAUUAUCUGCGCACUGGCGAUUGCAGUGACAUUGGUUGCAGCUAGAGAAUUAAAUACAAAUAGUCUAACGUUUAUCAAGAAUGCAGAAGGAUGGAGAAGUUGCGCGUAUUUGGACUCUGCUCGAAAAUGGACCAUCGGUUAUGGACAUUUAAUCAAGCCUAGUGAUGGUCUUACGAAAAGCAAAACAACGUGCAUUUCGGAAGCACAAGGCGAGCAAUAUCUUAAAUCUGAUAUCAAAACUGCCACCAAUUGUAUUGAUCGACUUGUGAAAAAACCACUUACGGAUAAUCAAUAUGGUGCACUUACUUCGUGGGCAUACAAUGUUGGUUGUGGUAACGCUGCGGAUUCCACUUUAGUCAGAAAAUUAAAUCAAGGAGCCAACGCAGCCGAAGUAUGCAGCCAACUAAAGAUGUGGAGAAAAGCUGACGGAAAGGUAAAUCAGGGCCUGGUUAAUCGUCGUAACGCCGAAUGUGAACUUUAUUCGUCUUAAAUGGAUUAGAGAAAAAUACUUUCCCCUUACACACUAGUUGUGUGCGGAAAAGUGAAAAUAGAAUUACAUCUACAAUCUUCUAUUUAAACAUAAUCAAUUGAUUUAGCUAUAUUAAAAUAAUUAAAUCAGCUAUAAUAUAUUGGAUUGUUAGAAACUCUAAAA
Long non-coding RNA from Contarinia nasturtii (swede midge), 798 nucleotides. RefSeq lists it as uncharacterized. Lineage: Eukaryota; Metazoa; Arthropoda; Insecta; Diptera; Cecidomyiidae. The record is from RefSeq and is a predicted model, not a curated record. The transcript has 2 exons.